Molecule: long non-coding RNA, 141 nt
Organism: Alosa sapidissima (American shad)
Lineage: Eukaryota; Metazoa; Chordata; Actinopteri; Clupeiformes; Clupeidae
Exons: 3
Source: RefSeq, a predicted model, not a curated record
UCACUAUGCCUGUAAGUGUCGCCAACUGAAUAUACACAUUGGAAAUGUGCGUACGCCAGACAUGAAGUUUGCGUGGAGGACCGCACAUUCUCACGUUCAAGUCAGUCUUCGUACAUCCGGACGUGAGCGUCAGAAGUGGCG